Molecule: transfer RNA, 68 nt
Filed under: Clonorchis sinensis
Lineage: Eukaryota; Metazoa; Platyhelminthes; Trematoda; Opisthorchiida; Opisthorchiidae
Description: tRNA-Pro
Source: RNAcentral
AACUUAGUAGUCUAAUCGAGUAGGAUGCGGGUUUUGGGAGCUUGAGGUCUCUUUAUUGAGCUGAUUGG